This is a long non-coding RNA of Felis catus (domestic cat), 4151 nucleotides long. RefSeq lists it as uncharacterized. The transcript is spliced from 8 exons. The record is from RefSeq and is a predicted model, not a curated record. Lineage: Eukaryota; Metazoa; Chordata; Mammalia; Carnivora; Felidae.
CCACCUUGUAAAGAAUGUCAGAACGGCUCUGCACUGUGAGCCUAGAGCCUGAUGUGAGGCUCAGACUCACAAACCUGUGAAAUCACGAGCUGAGAAAUUAAGAAUUGGAUGCUUAACCGACUGAGCCACACAGGAGCCCCUUGGAAUUACGUUCUAAUUGUGGGAGCGCUCUACCUAAUCAGCAUCACCUGCUGUCUCAGUCUUAACUAUAGGCGGCAUUUAGAGGAAAAUGCAGUACUUCCCCCUUAUCCGCAGUUUCGCUUUCCACAGUUUUAGUUCCCACUGUCAACUGAGGUCUGGAAGCCAGCGAUCCUCCUUCUGACGAAUCAUCAGAAGGUUAAUAGCAGUCUGACUCUACCUCGCAAUGCCUGCAUCUUUCGCCGGGCUUGGUCUCCUUACACAGGCGUUUUAUCAUCUCCCGACAUCAGAACAAGAAUGUCCAAAUUGGACAUUUUCCAGGAGGUGGUCUAUUUGCAACUGACAAAAGUCAAAAGUUUGUGGUGUUCCAAGAAUUGAAACAGGAAAUGUGCAUGGGUCCUGCUUCCUUCAAGGUCUGUCCAACUCCAUUUUGACUGGAAGUCACUCAUGAUCCCUUUCAGAAGGAAUUGUCAGCACAAACAAUGCAGAUUACAAGAUGAAAAAAUCCAAACCAAAGCACAUGCACAAACCUCCCAGGUGUAAAGACUGGGAAUAGGCCAUUGAAUGGAUGAGAAACAUCAUGUACAAAGAUUCAAAACUUAUGUGGAAUGGCAUGUUCUGGAGGUUGGGGAGUCCAAGAUCAAGAUGCCAGCAGAUACGGUGUGUGAGAGCCUACUUCCUGGUUUAUAGAUGGCCAUCUUUUCACUGUGUUCUUUCUGCGUGAUGGAAGAGGUAGCUACUAUCCAACUUAUCCAAGUUUAAGCCAUAAGAAAAUGCAUGGACUUCUGUACCUGAGAAGAAACUGGAAAGAAAAAAAAUAACACAGAAUCCAAGCAUGAGCUGAAGAAACUGGAGCCCCAGGAACUGAAGGGACUUCAGACUGCAGCUAGGCCGUCGUGGACAAGCUGACUUCGAAUCAAAACUAAACCACACUAAACUAAAAUUACACAAAGCAUGAGAUUGAGAUAAGGGGAUGACAAGUAUCCAGCUGCCAUCUGCUAAAUAACGUGAUGAUAAAUAUGGGCUCUAUUGCUCCAAUAACAUUGCCGCAGACUUAUCAGAUCAGAAGCUUUUUGGAUCCAUCUGAAUAAGAGGAGUACCUGAUAGACUUUUCACCUAUGGAAGGCUGACAGCAAGGAGAGAAAGCAGAAACUUCCUUUGGCUUUAUCAUAAUGCUGAUGAGGAGGAAGAGGGGAAGAAUCAAGAGUGCUUCAACCUUUGCAUGGAAAUCACAUAUGUAACAUGAAAGUAUUUCUCUGCUAACUAUUAUCUAUUAAUUUGGGGGAGACUUAGGAGGACUAUAUGUUUUGAAUCCCCAAUAACUGCCAGGCAUAAUAGCAGGCAUUUUGCCUAACGAAAAAGAACUAACAUUUGCUAAAUGUCUCUAGAUACUAGAAACCAGGCUCCUUUCUAUAUAUACAUUUCAUUGAAUCCACUAAUCCUCAGAAUGUGAAACCUUCUUUUUGGCAAGUGAAGAAAUAAUUUCCAAAGGUUUGCAGACAAAGCGAGUAAGUAGAAGAGGCAGGGAUUAAACAGGUCUGAACAAUCACCACAUUUUACUCUUUCAAAAAUACCAAGUUAGUACAACCAGGAAAGUAAAAAUCCUAUUAACAACUAGGGGAUCAUCGAUAUAGCACUUCUUAGAGUUAUUAUAUUAUUAACAUUUUUUUCAAAUGCAGUUUCUAUAUUGAAGGGAAUGUAAUAUGCAAAUAUUUUAAAGGGUCUUACAGGUAAUUAAAAAUAUCAAAGACAUUAAAAAGCAUCCCAGGUAUUUUUGUUUUCAUUCCAAAAUUUUUCAACAAACCUUUUUUUUUCUUUUUAAGCCUAAGGUAAAUUUCAGAACAACCAUUAUCAACAUUAUUUAAAUCUCUUAAUAGAUGGAGACUAAAGUAUUAAAGUUGUAUCACUAUGGAUGAAGAGCUUCAUUCUCUUAGAAUGGCUGUCUUGUCAAUUCUCUGAAUUUAUUUCAUAAUUGCUGAUACACAUCUUCUUACAUAAUCCUACCACUUAAGAGAGUGGCUGGAGGCCUACCCAUUUCUCAUCCAGGUUUUUUCAAAUCUCUCCUCUCUCAUCUGAUCUCAUAGUUUCUCUGCUGUUUUUGUCUGGUGACCAUCCUCACUAAAUACAUUAGGUUCUAGACUUUUUUUUUAAUAUCAAAGCCACUUCUCCUGGUAUGUGCUAAGCAUAUUGAGGGAAAGGACAAAAUGUUAUCAUUUUUUCUAUCAUUUACAAUACCCAUUAACAGGCAGAUACCAAAAGAGAUACAUGACAGUCAAGAACUAUGGAGUAGAUUUAAGAUCAGAUGUAUAGGUUUGUUAUCAAAUCCUUUUGUGUCACUUACUUAGCUGUGCAAACUUAGGCAAAUUAAUUAACUCUCAUUUAUAAAAUGGAAACCCAAAAGCUUUACAGGUUUUUUCAUGAAACUUUAUAAAGUUGUCUCACAGCCCUUAUUUUCAAAGAAUAGCCAGCGGUUAUUGGAAAUAUACCAAUAGUGUACAUUGAAUAAAUUACUUAGCCUUGUUAAGGCAUAGUUUUCUUGUCCACAAAAUGAAUAUGAAAAUAAUUGUUAUCUCGCAGGACUAUAAUGGCUAUUGAAUAAGGUGAUAUAACUACAUUUCUUAGCAGAGUGUUUCCAUAAAUGUUCAACUAUUUCAACAGUUUGGCCACGUGCCCCAAAAUGACACCUGACGUUCCGUCUUCUUAAAUCCAGUCUACUUCCUCAGUCCCUGUGUGCUUUGCUUAUCCUGGAAGAAGUCUAGAACUUCAAGUAGAAGAGAAGAGGACAGAAGUUGUCUGCUAGAACAAGAACAAAUGGCUAAAGGGUCUGAGAGUUGAAUAACUGCCCUUAUAUUGUUAAGUGAUAAGAAAUACUCAUGUGAAAUCAUAUUGUCAAACAGAAAACAAAUAUUAAAAGGAAUGUUAUGAGUCUUUUGAAAUGCGGCAAAAGGAGCGAUGGUUAAAAUUUUAACAAGUGAGAGUCAUUAGCUAAACAAAUCCUGACAGCUUCACAGUCACAGAGACACCUAACAAAGGCUUGAUUUGUGAGACGCCCUUAAUAGUCCCUUUGCAUUUCCCUCAAACAUUCCGUUUUGUUCCUCUACUGUGGACCCUAAAGUGUCAUUCCCUAUUUCUCUCUGCUAGCCAUAUAUGUUUAAAAAGUAUAGCUAACGUUUCCCUUCAUCGAUGAUCAGAAGAGAGAUUCUCUCCUGCAUCUUGCUGUAUUGAUCCUCUUUAAAAAGAGGGACAUUGCUGACAAAAAUGAAUCAAUUGAUGCCUUUAAGCUUUCAGAAUGAAGACUUUCUUUCUUAGGUUUUGCCAUUUUCUCUCAAAUGAUAAAACAGCAGUUGGUUCUCUUUGCCCCACUCUAAAUAAGACUAAAAGGUUAUGGAUUAUGCCAUACAUAAUUUAUAGUACUUAAGACAAAGGCGACCUGAUAGAAAUACACUUUAAUGAACACCUACCAAAUGCGAGGCUAUAUGGUAUUUAAUUUACAUGUAAUUCUCUUGUAAUUCUCAUAAAGGUAUAAUGGGGUAGGAAAUAUUAACCUUAUUUUGCAGUCAAGGAAACCAAGGUCAGAAGUUUGAAAAUAAAUGACAAUAAAAAUCCCUCACGGAACAAUACAUGUAGAAGUGCUUGAGAGAGAAAUGGAAUGAGAAAUGUAUUCCAUUUAUUCACUUUCUAGCAGGGAAAAAUAUUAUUAUUACUAAUAGUUCAUGUUAUAUUCAUACUUCAAAUUUAUUUUGAGUCUUAUUAUAUUUUCAUUUCAUUUCAAUUUUAAUAUGAACUGAAUAAUAGAACUUUUAGUUACAAUUUUCUUACUGAAUUACUUCAAUCCCCCCCUCCCCCUGCCAUAGAAGCAUAUCCCAAAUUUUCCAGAGCAGUUGGUUGGCUAAGAAAGCCAUAUUUUUUCGAUAGAGAAAUGUACUUUAUACAGAACUGGCCAAGAGUAAAUCCCCUUUUACAUUAGCUAAGUAUAAACAUGUGCAUUGACUCAAAAAUAAAUGUCUGUUAUU